GACCUGUCUACAGCCAUCAAAGACCUGCAGGACAAGCCAAUAGAAGAUGUUGCUUUUGCCUUGUACUCAAGCAAGUUUCAGCUGUACGAUUCACAGAGCACAGAUUUCCAGCAGAGAAUGGACUACAUACUGUCCCUCAUCCAGAUUAUCCGCCUACACUCCCACCAACAUUCCUCAUAUGGGGACAAGGAAGAGGAGCAGAUCGAACACCUUUGGGGGACAUUUCUCCGGGAAUUUAAGGAAGCCUCUGAGUUCACAAUUAUGCAGCGGGACAGCACCAUUG
Molecule: non-coding RNA, 283 nt
Organism: Chiloscyllium plagiosum (whitespotted bambooshark)
Lineage: Eukaryota; Metazoa; Chordata; Chondrichthyes; Orectolobiformes; Hemiscylliidae
Source: RefSeq, a predicted model, not a curated record